AUUGAACGCUGGCGGCAUGCUUUACACAUGCAAGUCGAGCGGCAGCGCGGGGGCAACCCUGGCGGCGAGCGGCGAACGGGUGAGUAAUGCAUCGGAACGUAUCCUCGAGUGGGGGAUAACCCAGCGAAAGUUGGGCUAAUACCGCAUGAGCUCUGAGGAGGAAAGCGGGGGACCUGCGAGGGCCUCGCGCUGGAGGAGCGGCCGAUGUCCGAUCAGCUAGUUGGUGGGGUAAAGGCUUACCAAGGCGACGACCGGUAGCUGGUCUGAGAGGAUGAUCAGCCACACUGGGACUGGGACACGGCCCAGACUCCUACGGGAGGCAGCAGUGGGGAAUUUUGGACAAUGGGGGCAACCAUGAUCCAGCCAUGCCGCGUGAGUGAAGAAGGCCUUCGGGUUGUAAAGCUCUUUCGGACGGAACGAAAUGGGCGGGACUAAUACUCCGGUCUGAUGACGGUACCGGAAGAAGAAGCACCGGCUAACUACGUG
Molecule: ribosomal RNA, 486 nt
Filed under: uncultured bacterium
Lineage: Bacteria
Description: partial 16S ribosomal RNA
Rfam family: Bacterial small subunit ribosomal RNA
Source: RNAcentral